RNAcentral lists this ribosomal RNA (471 nucleotides) under uncultured bacterium. RNAcentral describes it as "partial 16S ribosomal RNA". It matches the Rfam family "Bacterial small subunit ribosomal RNA", at positions 330 to 793 of the family's 1533-position model. The record is from RNAcentral.
CCCAGACUCCUACGGGAGGCAGCAGUGGGGAAUAUUGCGCAAUGGGCGAAAGCCUGACCGAGCAACGCCGCGUGAAUGAAGAAGGCCUUCGGGUUGUAAAAUUCUGUUAUAAGGGAAGAAAGGUGAUAGGAGGAAAUGACUAUCAAUUGACGGUACCUUAUGAGAAAGCCACGGCUAACUACGUGCCAGCAGCCGCGGUAAUACGUAGGUGGCAAGCGUUAUCCGGAUUUACUGGGUGUAAAGGGCGUGUAGGCGGGAAAGCAAGUCAGAUGUGAAAUCCAUGGGCUCAACCUGUGGCCUGCAUUUGAAACUGUUUUUCUUGUGUACUGGAGAGGCAGACGGAAUUCCGAGUGUAGCGGUGAAAUGCGUAGAUAUUAGGAGGAACACCAGGGGCGAAGGCGGUCUGCUGGACAGCAACUGACGCUGAGGCGCGAAAGCGUGGGGAGCACACAGGAUUAGAUACCCGCGUAA